GACGAACCGUGCGAACGUUGUCCGGAAUUAUUGGGCGUAAAGAGCUCGUAGGUGGUUUGUUGCGUCUGCCGUGAAAACCCGAGGCUUAACCUCGUGGCUUGCGGUGGAUACGGGCAGACUUGAGGUAGGUAGGGGAGAAUGGAAUUCCCGGUGUAGCGGUGAAAUGCGCAGAUAUCAGGAGGAACACCGAUGGCGAAGGCAGGUCUCUGGGCAUUAACUGACGCUGAGGAGCGAAAGCAUGGGGAGCGAACAGG
RNAcentral lists this ribosomal RNA (254 nucleotides) under uncultured bacterium. RNAcentral's name for it is "partial 16S ribosomal RNA". It matches the Rfam family "Bacterial small subunit ribosomal RNA", at positions 524 to 776 of the family's 1533-position model. The record is from RNAcentral.